Molecule: ribosomal RNA, 491 nt
Filed under: uncultured bacterium
Lineage: Bacteria
Description: partial 16S ribosomal RNA
Rfam family: Bacterial small subunit ribosomal RNA
Source: RNAcentral
AGUGAACGCUGGCGGUAGGCCUAACACAUGCAAGUCGAACGGCAGCACAGUAAGAGCUUGCUCUUACGGGUGGCGAGUGGCGGACGGGUGAGGAAUACAUCGGAAUCUACUUUUUCGUGGGGGAUAACGUAGGGAAACUUACGCUAAUACCGCAUACGACCUACGGGGGAAAGCAGGGGAUCUUCGGACCUUGCGCGAUUGAAUGAGCCGAUGUCGGAUUAGCUAGUUGGCGGGGUAAAGGCCCACCAAGGCGACGAUCCGUAGCUGGUCUGAGAGGAUGAUCAGCCACACUGGAACUGAGACGCGGUCCAGACUCCUACGGGAGGCAGCAGUGGGGAAUAUUGGACAAUGGGCGCAAGCCUGAUCCAGCCAUGCCGCGUGGGUGAAGAAAGCCUUCGGGUUGUAAAGCCCUUUUGUUGGGAAAGAAAAGCAGCAGGUUAAUACCCCGCUGUUCUGACGGUACCCAAAGAAUAAGCACCGGCUAACUUCGU